This 553-nucleotide small RNA is filed under the name Pongo abelii (Sumatran orangutan). RNAcentral's name for it is "processed transcript". The record is from RNAcentral. Lineage: Eukaryota; Metazoa; Chordata; Mammalia; Primates; Hominidae.
GGGCUCAGAGGGGCCAUGAUUCGGAGGGUUCUGCCGCACGGCUUGGGCCGGGGCCUCUUGACCCGGAAGCCAGGCACGCGCAGAGGAGGCUUUUCUCUGGGACUCUAGCGACAAGGGAAGGAGAGGAGGGGAAGACCUCAAUCUCAGGGGAUCCAACGGACAGAGAUUGUGCUUUGGACCUUGUUGAGAAAUUUUCCUAGGAUCUUCCUCAGUCGAACCGGGAAGCUUGGCAAUAAGUAUUCACAGGCCUCCACUGGGCUCUCAGUAGGUGGGAUUUGUCAGCAGUUCUCAUUGCCUGAGAACAUCCAGCUCUCCCUCUUUUCAGCCAGCUUUCUACGGAAUAUCAAUGAGUACCUGGCCGUAGUCGAUGCCCCUCCCUUGGACCUCCGGUUCAGCCCCUCAGGCUACCUCUUGCUGGCUUCAGAAAAGGAUGCUGCAGCCAUGGAGAGCAACGUGAAAGUGCAGAGGCAGGUGGGAGCCAAAAUUUCUCUGAUGUCUCCUGAUCAGCUUCGGAACAAGUUUCCCUGGAUAAACACAGAGGGAGUGGCUUUGG